Molecule: long non-coding RNA, 10326 nt
Organism: Peromyscus californicus insignis
Lineage: Eukaryota; Metazoa; Chordata; Mammalia; Rodentia; Cricetidae
Exons: 2
Source: RefSeq, a predicted model, not a curated record
GCAAAGAGCUCGCCCUGACGAUUCAUAAAUCCAAAGCAGUUCUAAUUCCCCUUCUCCAAUCCCCAAAUUUACUCGAAGACCAUAGAUAACACCCAGGGGCAGAGGGGGGCUGCUCUUUGGACUUCCAGACCUUUCUCUUCUUGGUUCUCUCUCUUGGGAGAGUUAAAAACAGCUGAGGCUGGAGGUGAACCCCAGAUUCUAAGACCACGGUGGUGCCCGGCAGCCCUAGGUUCCACACCCUAUGUUGGGAACUAUGGCUUCCAGCCCUCAUCUCCCCGUCACAUCUUUGCAGCAGAAUAAGCUGUCUGCGCGUCUCUUCAUAGGAGCGAACACGUCGGGGAUUGCCAGCGAAGGAAAGCGAGUUAGGAGGUAACCACACAGCUGCCCACAGCUCCCUGACUUUUCUCUCCAGCAAGGGUGGAGAUUCGGUGCCACCAGAGAGGGACUGGGGCAAGGUGACCAGUGAAAGAAAAGCUAAGGAUGACAUCUUCACUCAGCAUCAUCAGGAUGUGACCCAUAAAUGCUGCUGAUGGCUCUGUUUAUAUUGAAUGUGGCAUGUGGCAAUUUGAGUGCACCAUGAAGAAGAAAUGGGCAUGAGGCCUUAGCCUUAAGACAGCUUCAGAAAUAGCCACCAUCCUUCAUGUUCCUCCCAGCCCCUCUCCUGUCAUGAGUAAGUGCUCAGCAGAGACUAGAUGUCACAAAUAUCAUGGAGUUUACUAAACUGUUGGAUGAUGGACUUUGGUGGACAGUUUUUCAGUAGAAAAUUAAGGAAGCUGGGUUAGAAAUACUACCAGAAAAUUAUUAGGCCUUUUUUUUAGCACUCAAAAAAAUGGGUAAAAUGGUACAUUUUGGAAAUAUCUGCAGAUGGAGUCGUGAACAGAUGUCAGUGGAGAGACGGGGAACCAGAAGCUGUCUUGAGGAAGGAGGUGGGUCAGGUCCUGGUGGAGGACUGAGUCCAGCCACUGAUAUUCACCAAGGACACGACAGGGUGGGUGGUGCCUGUCAUCCGCUGGCCCCGCCCCUGCGCUCAUGUUCACCAAGGACACGGCAGGGUGGGUGGUGCCUAUCAUCCGCCGGCCCCGCCCCUGCUCUCAUGAACACUUGCGUCAUUGCCGCGGCCUGGCUCCUUGCCCUGAGCUGAGAGCGCCUGGGUGCUGAAGAGCGAGACAGGGAAGCGUGAGCUUGGUGCAAGCGCUGCCUGGCAUUGGAUCAGGCAGCCACCCCUCUUCUGGAGUCGGGUCGCCCUGCUGUGGCCGAGGACCGAGGGAGGGAGCGCAGGCCAGGCUGCCCGCGCAUGGCAAGCCAUAACUUACAGUCGCUUGCAACACUGCCGUAUGAAAGGAAUUGCGAGACUUGUUAAAUGAACCUCUACCUUCCCCGUCCCUCCAGGAGCACUGCUCACAAACAUGCAGUAAUCUCGCAUGGGGACGGAGAACUAGAAAACGUUCUGCCUGUAUUUUAUUCUCAAAUACCCUUGUGUCUUCCCUGUAUUUCAACAUUCCAGCACCCUGGGUGUGUGCAGUGGAGGAAGGGCACCCGGCCGCCAAAGAUGUAAGGUCUCCAUCAGGAAGUCUCCCAGCUCUGCCAAUGCUGGCUUCCCAGCAGCUUCAUUCUGCUGCAACGGAUCACCUCAGCUGCAUGCAUGCGUUCUAUCCUCCUCCCUGGCUGCACAUUGCUGUCUAAGAAAAGCCUCAGCCCUCGACGGCACUAACUAGAUGGUCUUGGGUUUUAAUUUUAUAAAUCGAGAGAAAGGAAUAGAAAGUUUAAAAUAAAGGUUUAAAAUAGCUCCAAACCCAGGGAAACCAGUGUCCUUCUUCGGACUCCUGUAGACACCAGACAGGUACAUGGAGUACAGACAUGCAUGCAGGUAAAAUAUUCAUAAACAUAAAAUAAUUUUUUAAAGAUUUUUGAGGCCUGAAUUUUACAACAUGACUCCUCACAAUUUUUUUCUCUUGGUGAUUUUUGAGGGCCUCAUCACUUAGCUUUGAGUAUGUCUGCUUUCUAAAUUGUCUUGUGUAAAAAUAAGAGUUAAGAAUUAUGCACAAAAAUACCUGCAAAUGAACCUUGAUUAAUAUAGAUAUAGUCGUUCCAUGUUGGGAGGAGUAAGCCUUUGAAAUGUUGUCUGCCAGGAGUGUCUCUCCACGGACACAUUCCAGACUUCUAAAGGAGAUCACAGACCUUCUAGACACGAGCACAAAUCCCACUUUGAGAACACAUCCAUGGGCCUUGGUUGGUAUCCCAUGAUUGGUGUUUCUGAAUGAACAGGGGCAGGAGACAUGUCCUGACACACCAAGUGGAUCCUGGAGGCGACUGCGACAGAGGAGAAGCCCAUUGGAAGGGAAAUCAGGCAGACGCCACAAACCUGUCUGAGAAUAAGAUGCUAAGUGGUUUGACUCUCAUCAACGGAGAUGCCAAGCUGAACGUGGAAAAUUGGUUCAGCUGUUUUUGCGGAUCUGGUUCCCAGUGGUCAACAUCCCAGGGAUAGUUGGUCGGCUCCUGUGGGCGCAAGUAAAGGAGGCAGCAGAGCACAUCGAAGAGGACGUGGUGAUGUUAACCAUCUGUACCGGUGACACAUCUUUCUCCAGUAGACUAUAUGCCCUCAGGAAGUCACAGCAUCAGGCAGAUUCCAACAUCUGAAAAGGCUGCUUAUGGAAGGGCAAUAAAAUAACUUCAACUGCAAAGGAGCUGGGGGUGUCGUUUCAUGGUCCAGUGCUUACUUUGAGGUCCUGGGUUCCAUCCUCACCUGGCCAACUUCUCAACUGGUCUUGUUUCCUCAGACUGGAAGCUUCUGUGUCCUCAUCCAAAUGGAUCUCAGCUGAACUGCUGCUCGAAAGCCUGAAGCUUAACCAGCUAAAAGCUUCUAGUUUCUGGUCCUCACACCUUAUAUACCUUUCUGCUUUCUACCAUCACUCCCUGGGAUUAAAGGCUCGUUUUCUGGGGUUAAAGGCGUGAGUCACCAUGCUUGGCUGUAUCCUUGAACAGAUGGAUUUCUGCCUCUGGAAUGCUAGGAUUAAAGGCGUGUGCUACCACUGCCUAUCCUAAGUAUCCAGUGGCUUUUCUGUUCUCUGACCCCAGAUAAGUUUAUUAGGGUGCACAAUAUUUUGGGGAACACAAUACCACCACAGAUUGGUCUAAUAAAAAACUGAACAGCCAAUAGCAAGGCAGGAGAAGAGGAGGGACUGACAGGCAGAGAGAAUCAAUAGAAGGAAAAAGAGAGAGAGAAGAAGUGAGAAAAGAAGGGGCCAGUUCCACCACACAUGCAACACUCUGAAACAUCUACCAAAUGACAAAAAUAUGACCUUCUCUAAUGGUUCUCAUUACACAAGGGCAAAUUUAAAAGAAAAUAGCCCUCUGCUACACGUGUUCUGCAGCCUCAGGUUGAUCAUGUGCGCAUGGCCAAGGCAUGGUUAGGGAGCCCAUCACACAGUUACCGUAAAAGGUGGGAGUAGUCAAAUCAGUCCCAGUAGCCACGCCCCACCUUCAGCAUCACUGAGCCCACAGACACUACCACAACCUUCAGUCAGCGUAGUCUCACUCACAAGGCUGCACACACUGCUUCCCAGCGUGAAUGUUUUCUUUUCUCUUCUCUUGUUUGCAAUUUUAUUUGUCCCUUUAAAAAUUAUUAGUGGCCGGGCAGUGGUGGCGCACGCCUUUAAUCUCAGCACUUGGGAGGCAGAGGCAAGAGGAUCUCUGUGAGUUCGAGGCCAGUCUGGGCUACAGAGUGAGUUCCAGGAAAGGCGCAAAGCUACACAGAGAAACCCUGUCUCAAAAAAAAAACAGAAAAAAAAUUAAAAAUAAAUUAUUAGUGUACAUUCAUUGUAAGAAGCCAUAGGCUUCAGACCAUAUUAGUUCAAGCACGGUAUCUUCUUUGUCUGUAGUCAUGGCAACAGCCUUCCUUGUCCCUCCUUCCUUCCUCCCCUUCUCAGGUAGUUCCCCAUAUGUUUUCAUGUAUAAUGUGUAUCUGUGCUGUGCGCAUACAAUUUAGGUUCCACAUAUGAAAUACAGAACAAGAUAGUCAUCUUUCUGAGCUUGGCUUAUUUUCCUUCACAUCAGGUUCUCUGCAGACAUAAUGUUGUUUUCUUAAUGGCUGAAUAAAUCAACAUUAUCUUUACUCAUGCACUGACGGACAUGUGGACUGGUUCCAUGGCUUAGUCAUUGGAUAUAGUGCCGUGCCCUUGGAAAAGCUGGUGUCCCUGAGGUGGGAUUGGUUGGCCCUGUUGUUUGGGGGUCUGUGUCAGCCUGUCGUGGUGGAAACACAUGCUGGAGCAAAGCCACUCAUCUUGUGCCCAGAAACAAAAGAGAAGAAGAAAGGCAAGGGUCUGGCAACUCCCUCAGUGUCAGGUCCCUGAGGACCUAAAGACACCCGACUAAGUCUCACAGCUUGGAUACUCUGUCACCUCUCAAUAGUACCCUGGAGACUGACAUCCAGCCAGGCGGUGGUGGCACACGCCUUUAAUCCCAGCACUCGGGAGGCAGAGCCAGGUGGAUCUCUAUGAGUUCGAGGACAGCCUGGGCUACAGAGCGAGAUCCAGGAAAGGUGCAAAGCUACACAAAGAAACCCUGUCUCAAGAAAAUAAAAAAAAAAAAAAGAAUCCAUACUAUAUACUGCCUGAAAUCUGUCCUUCCUGACCUCCAUGAAGUUCUGUACAUAUCUUCUAAAGUCUGUGUGACUGCCAAGUUUUAGUAAUCUUGGCAUCCCUGGAGAAGCACGCACAUAUCCAGAACACUGUUCCAUCUGAUUUUCUAAAAUCAGCCCAGACUUCCUGCUUCUAACAACCUAAUUGGUCACAACCUAGAUAUCCCAUGCUUAGGAAGUUGGCGCCUGCUCUGUGCCUGCCACAUGGUAGGCAGGAGAGGAAGGCUGUCCUCAGCUAUUGUGGAUGGUGACAGAGCUUCCCCCAAGCAGGGCAGCCAGAAGCAGAGUGGGGCCUUGACUCAUCUCUCACAGCCCACAAGUGUUCCUCUUCUGCCUCUGCCUGGAGUCCUUCCAAUGGGUGACAUUUUCAGGUCUGUGUUUUAUACACACACGCACAUACAUACACCACACACACACACACACACACACACACACACACACACACACACACACACAAAACCACGUCUCCAGAUGUCCCCCAAAAUGACUCUUAAAGACUCAGUCAGUUGUGUAGCUCCGACUUCUCUGCUCAGUCCCUCUGUGGUGGUUCGAGUGAAAAUGGCCUCCACAAGCUCAUAUAUUUGAACGCUUAGUUCCCAGUUAGUGGAACUGUUUGGGAAGGAUUAGGGGGUGUGGGGGUGUGGCCUUGUUGAAGGAGAUGUGUGUCACUGGAGGUGGGGUUUGAGGUUUCAAAAGCCAUGCCAGACCCAGUCUGCCUGUCUGUCUGUCUUUCCUCCUCCUCCUCCUCCUCCUCCUCCUCCUCCUCCUCCUCCUCCUCCUGCCUUCAGAUCAGGAUGUAAGCUCUCAGCUACUUCUCCAGCACUAUGCCUCCUGUACCUCCUGCCACAACACUCCCCACCAUGACACUCAUGACUCAGCCUCUGAGACCGUAAGCAAGCCCCAAACUAAAUACUUUCUUCUAAAAGUUGUCUUGGUCACGGUGCCUCCUCACAGCAAUGGAACAGUAAGGAAAACACUCUCUACCUUCUCCCUUCUGCUUAAAGUAAAACACUGACACUUUGUGGCGGUGAGGAGUCCUGGUAGACUCUCCCAACAACUUCCCCAUCACAGUUGAGAUGUUGCUGCUCCGGCUGCCCCAGGCCCCUCAGGGCAUAGCUCAACCCCAGGGCCUCCAGCUGCUCACCCCACUGCCUGGCCACUCCUCCCACCACAUCUGUGUGGCUCGGUUCUCACCUCCUCAGGGCAUUGUUCAGAUGACUGUGUCAAGGAAGCCUAUACCAGGAUCACCUGCUGAUUCCCACCUUUCCCCUCCCAAAAGCCCUUCCAACCCCCAGACUCUGCUAUCUGCAUAGCAUCUCUGUCCCAGGCAAAACACCUUACCUGUGUCUGAUUUUUAUUUCUGCCUCAGCCACUAGGUCAACUCAAGGAUAGGCAAUAUCAUUUCCUCUGUACACUGACUUUAUGCAAGUGUGUGGAACACCACCUGCCUGUAGUGGGUAGCCAUUCCAGCUUUGAUCUGGAAGUUCCAACCCCCAUUGAGGCUUCAGUAACUGUCAUGCCUACAAGGCGGGGCCAAGAGAGGCCCUGAAGACCUGAGAUCUGGAUGCGCUGGCUCUCUUGGUUCCUGGAAUCUGGACGCUGGAGGUAGACCGAGCAGAGUUCUCCAGAGAACACCGCAGGACUGCGCCACACCUUUCCCAGACCCUGUUGCCUAUCCCUUCACUUGUAAGUUACCCCACAAAAUAAACCUCCCUUUUAACUACGUGGAGAGCCUUAAUAAUUUCACCAAUACCUGCCCUCUCCCGUGUGCCCAAUAAUCAUGAAAUCUCUGGUGAUGUAGGGACACCCUCUCUCUGAGCUUUCACUGCCCUUCUUCAGGGGCCACUAUCAAUCUGUAAAAUCACCCCAUGCUCACCCCCAGGUGGGAAGGUCAAGUUCUUGGCCCCUGCCUGAACUCACAGAAUCAUUUGUUUCCCAAAGCUGUGGAUUCAAUGAUAUCACUGCGGCGUUCAAACCUGAUUUAAGUUUCUGCAGCUUCCUGACUUACAUAACCAAGGAGAAUGGGUUUAGAAGGACACCCUCUCUCCCGGGCUUGCGCGAGCACAGAAGACAGCCUGCAUCUGAGAGCGACGCUGUCAGUGGCACUGUGCAAACAUCUCUGCACUCAGCGCAGCCUGCACAGUUGGCUGGCCCAGCUGGUCUGCAGCAUCCGGGGGCGGCUCAUCUUGCUGACGUCAAUUGGCAGAGCCCACCUGCUAGAAGCUCACCCUCUGCCUGCCUCCUACACACUCCUUUCUUGCAUCCAGCCCUGUCAUCCAGCCUCUGCUUCUUAGUCCGGUCCUCAGAUUGCCUCCAAUGUCUUAAAGGACAUGUGUGUCCUUUCCAGACUCCUGGGUCAUGCUACUCCGAGCCUGUGGCAACACAAGAACAAAACCAGCACUGGAGCCGAGUGGGAACAGCCCAAGCUCACACGACACAUUCAUUUCUCAAGAUAGGUGGAUGCUAAAGGUCUCGAGCCAGUUUUAUUUUUUAUCAGAAAGGAGAAUGGAGAUUUUGCUCAGGCAGCUGCCAGGAAGCACCAAGCACCAAGGACAUUAUGACAAUGGAUGGAUCAAUUCUCUUUGUUUGCAUGCUAAGGUCUGUGGAUUUGUCCUUUGUUUUUCAGCCUGUGUGCAAAGAACAAUCAUUACCUCAGUUGGACUUACUCAAGGGGACACCUCUGUGCCACCGAUAUGUGCGAAUAAAUCCACAGUGAUGACAUUUCGGGGGACCCCUGGGCAGGAGAACAAAACUAGUACUAAUUCACCAUGUAGAAAGGAAAUGUUUUCUUACAGUAAUCUCAUUUGUGCUAGCAUUUACUUUAGACCCAAACCUCUCCCGUUAUGUUGGCAAUCUGAUUCAAUUCCUGCAGAAGUGUCGUACCCUGAAUCUCAGAAAAAGAAAAGGCAGCCAACCGAGGCAGGGUGAGAAGCCACCUCGGCAGGUGAGACUCAGCUCCUCUGGCUCGGGGACACCUCUGUAGGAGCUCCUUUCCCAUUCCAGGGAACAUCUGCCUACCUCAUCUCUCCCUCGAUUUCCAGUUCCCUCAUUUGUGCUCAGCUUCACCUCAUUCAGGGAGUUUCACACAAAAGUACAGAGUGAUUUUUUAACUUGGACGUGCUGUCUGUACCUUUCGGGGUUUCUUCUGUCCUCUUCCAUGUUAGCUGCGGACUGCCCAGGACACACCUCCUCUCUGGGUUUUUAGCCCCACUUUGCGCUGAAGUUUUGGGGGCACUUGAGCUGGCCCUUCAUUUGCUGAGUCCCAUAGCUUCUGUCUCAUUUCCCGUUCCUGAAUCCUCUCGGUAAGAUACCCCACCUCGGUCCUUUACUGUGGAUCCCUCCCGAAGUCCCAUGCUUGGGAAAAGGCUAGCAAGCAGAUAGGCCUGCACACAUCCGUGCUGGUGUUUCCCAGAUCUUAAGGUGCCCAGUAGCCAGCGUGGCCUCUCGGAAACCCCUCCCUCAUCCCUCUCCUCAUCUGCUGCCCCUAUGCUCCGUGGACCUGACUCAUCUAAACCUUCAGUGUCGGCAGCUCCUUCUCACCGAGAUCUUGUCUGUGUGCCAUCAUGUGUCCUGUCGGAAAAAGUGUUUGUUGAUAAAAGUCUGUAAAAUUUUCUCAUUAAUUUCAAUGAUCGUUUCAGACAUGUGGUGCUAUAGGAAGAAAACUUGCAUUAAGGAAGAGAAAAAAAAAAUCACAUUAGCUAUCGUGAAACUUGCCCCUCAGUACAUGUGAUCUUUGUUCAUUCACAGACAUUAUUUCCAGGUGGAAGGCAUUUCUCCAAGGUUGAAUAAGUACAGGAUCGGACGGGUCCAUCAAAAUUCAGGCACCGUCAUGGGAUAAGGCCGUGUGGAGAACAACUCUGAACGCCACAGGGCUUCUAGAGUAGUCUUAGAUAUUAUAAGAGACUUGUCUGCUUGCCACAUUCAUUCAAGAUAAAAAGCUUUGCUGGAUAGUAAUUGUGAAGGUUAGAUUAAAAAUCAAGCAAAGAACACUCCCCCCCCCCCAAAAAAAAACUCACUCCUCUGAGAUACUGACCUCAGUCCUCUCCCUUGAUCCGUUCCCAAGUUCCACAGCUGGAUGACAUUUUCUAAGUGUCACACUAAGUGGGCCAUCUAACAGCAGCUUACAGAUGUUCAAACUUUGAAAUUCCAAAGGAUCCUGCACUGUAAUUCCAUGGUCAGGAGCCCAAGUGAGUCUGCCCUGGACACGUUAAAGGAGGGUUCAACAAAGAUAAGCAAGGUUGGUCCUGAGGCAGCCAAAACCAUGGUGGGAUCCCUCAGCACCUUCUUCAAGAGAUCCUGGUGAAGCGGCAGACGUGUGAGCACCCAGGAUGUCAGGGGAAGGAGGAAGAAACCUAAAGAACAGAGAAGUCUGAGACAGCUGGCGACAUUGUGCUUCAAAAGUGCAAAACACGGAGCUGGAGAGAUGGCGUAGCACUGGGAACGCUGGGUCUCUGCGGAGGACCCGGGUUCAAUGUCUAGCACACCGUGGCUCACAACCACUCCCGUUUCAGGGCACCCACCUAUCACCCUCUUCUGUCCUCCAAGGGCACCAGGAAUGCACAUACACACAUGCAGGCAAGACACUCACACACAAAAUAAAAUUUGGGGGAAAAAAGAGACAAAAGGAGACACAAUAUCUACCUUCAGAUGGUUAAAGAUCUGUAGCAUGAAUCUUAAAUGGUCUUAUUAAUAAGAUCAAACCCGGAGCUGGGUAUUGGGGUGAACGCUGGAAGAUCAGAGAAGCAGAACAAGCCACAGCCACCUCACCUGGCCAGUUCCUCAGCUGAUCCUGUUUCCUCAGACUGGAAGCUUCUGAGUCCUCAUCCAGAAUGAAUCUCAGCUGAACUGCUGCUAAAAGCCUAAAAGCUUAACCAGCCUAGUUCCUGGUCCUCACGCCUUAUAUACCUUUCUGCUUUCUGCCACCACUUCCUGGGAUUAAAGGUGUGAGUCAUCAUGCCUGGUUGUUUCCAGUGUAGCUUUGAACUCACAAAGAUCCGGAUGGAUCUCUGCCUCUGGAAUGCUAGGAUUAAAGGCGUGUGCUACCACUGCCUAACCUCUGUGUUUAAUAUUAUGGCUGCUCUGUUCUCCGACCCCCAGAUAAGUUUAUUGGGGUGCACGAUAUAUCAAGCACAAAGAUCUCAACACAAUAAAAGGAACAGCCUGACUUAGGCACAAGUUCAGUUGGUACAGUGCUUCUCAAGCAUGAGGUCCCAAGUUCAGUCCCCUGAAUCCAUGUAAAAAAUAAAAUAAAAAUGAAAAGCAGGCCUAGGGGCUUGAGUUUGUAAUCUCAGCACUGGGAAGACAGAGACAGGAGGAUUCCUGGGAUCUGGUGGCCAGCCAACCUAACUGUGGUGGUUUGAAUAAGGAUGGCCCCUAUAAGUUCAUGUAUUUGAUGACUGGUCACCAGAUAGUGGAACUGUUUUAAAAGAUUACAAGGAUUAGGAGGUGUGGCCUUGCUGGAGUAGAUGUGGCCUUGUUGAAGGGAGUGUGUUGCUGGGGGCGGGCUUUCUAAAGCCCAUAUCAAGCCUGUCUGUCUGUCUGUCUGUCUGUUCUCUCUCUCUCUCUCUGCCUUUGGAUCAGAUUGUAGUUCUCAGCUCCUGCUCCAGUACCAUGCUCCCCGCCAUGAUGAAAAUGGACCAAACCUCUGAAACUAUAAGCAAAUCCCCAAUUAAACGCUUUCCUUCCCAAGA